This 442-nucleotide ribosomal RNA is filed under the name uncultured bacterium. RNAcentral's name for it is "partial 16S ribosomal RNA". It matches the Rfam family "Bacterial small subunit ribosomal RNA", at positions 338 to 795 of the family's 1533-position model. The record is from RNAcentral.
CCUACGGGUGGCAGCAGUGGGGGAUAUUGGACAAUGGGGGGAACCCUGAUCCAGCGACGCCGCGUGAGUGAAGAAGUAUUUCGGUAUGUAAAGCUCUGUCAGCAGGGGAGAAAGAAAUGACGGUACCUGACCAAGAAGCCCCGGCUAACUACGUGCCAGCAGCCGCGGUAAUACGUAGGAUGCGAGCGUUAUCCGGAUUUAUUGGGUUAAAAGGGUGCGCAGGCGGAUUUUUAAGUCAGCGGUCAAAUCGUGGGGCUCAACCCCAUCCAGCCGUUGAAACUGGGGAUCUAGAGUGUGCGAGAGGUAUGCGGAAUGCGUGGUGUAGCGGUGAAAUGCAUAGAUAUCACGCAGAACCCCGAUUGCGAAGGCAGCAUACCGGUGCACAACUGACGCUCAGGCACGAAAGCGUGGGUAUCGAACAGGAUUAGAUACCCUUGUAGUC